UACGUAGGUGGCAAGCGUUAUCCGGAUUUAUUGGGUGUAAAGGGCGUGUAGGCGGGAGCGCAAGUCAGAUGUGAAAACUCAGGGCUCAACCCUGAGCCUGCAUUUGAAACUGUGUUUCUUGAGUGCUGGAGAGGCAAUCGGAAUUUCGUGUGUAGCGGUGAAAUGCGUAGAUAUACGGAGGAACACCAGUGGCGAAGGCGGAUUACUGGACUGUAACUGACGUUGAGGCUCGAAAGCGUGGGGAGCAAACAGG
RNAcentral lists this ribosomal RNA (253 nucleotides) under uncultured bacterium. RNAcentral's name for it is "partial 16S ribosomal RNA". It matches the Rfam family "Bacterial small subunit ribosomal RNA", at positions 524 to 776 of the family's 1533-position model. The record is from RNAcentral.